This 431-nucleotide unclassified non-coding RNA is filed under the name soil metagenome. RNAcentral describes it as "partial contains 5.8S ribosomal RNA, internal transcribed spacer 2, and large subunit ribosomal RNA". The stretch from base 1 to 120 matches the Rfam family "5.8S ribosomal RNA", at positions 35 to 154 of the family's 154-position model. The record is from RNAcentral.
GAUGAAGAACGCAGCGAAAUGCGAUACGUAAUGUGAAUUGCAGAAUUCAGUGAAUCAUCGAAUCUUUGAACGCAUAUUGCGCUCUCUGGUAUUCCGGAGAGCAUGCUUGUUUGAGUAUCAGUAAACACCUCAACUUCCAUAUCUUUUUUGAAAUGGGAGUUGGACUUGAGUGAUCCCAACGCUUUUCCUCACCGAAAAGUGGCGGGUUACUUGAAAUGCAGGUGCAGCUGGACUUUUCUCUGAGCUAUAAGCAUAUCUAUUUAGUCUGCCUAAAAAACAGAUUAUUACCUUUGCUGCAGCUAACAUAAAGGAGAUUAGUUCUUGUGCUGACUGAUGCAGGAUUCACAAAGACGGCUUCGGCCGACUUUGUAAACUCGAUCUCAAAUCAAGUAAGACUACCCGCUGAACUUAAGCAUAUCAAUAAGCGGAGA